CCUACGGGUGGCAGCAGUGGGGAAUAUUGGGCAAUGGGCGCAAGCCUGACGCAGCAACGCCGCGUGAAGGAAGAAGGCUUUCGGGUUGUAAACUUCUUUUAUCAGGGACGAAGGAAGUGACGGUAACAGAGGAAUAAGCUACGGCUAACUCCGGGCCAGCAGCCGCGGAAAUACGUAGGUUGCAAGCGUAAUACGGAUUUACUGGGUGCAAAGGGCGUGUAGGCGGGACUGCAAGUCGGAUGUGAAAACCUCGGGCUCAACCUGUGACCUGCAUUUGAAACUGCAGUUCUUGAGUACUGUAGAGGCAGGCGGAAUUCCUAGUGUAGCGGUGAAAUGCGUAGAUAUUAGGAGGAACACCAGUGGCGAAGGCGGUCUGCUGGAC
RNAcentral lists this ribosomal RNA (382 nucleotides) under uncultured bacterium. Its description in RNAcentral is "partial 16S ribosomal RNA". It matches the Rfam family "Bacterial small subunit ribosomal RNA", at positions 338 to 734 of the family's 1533-position model. The record is from RNAcentral.